AAGAUUUUAAGUUAACAAAACUAGCAUCCUUCAAAGUUGCCAAUAAAAAUUCAUUUUAAAUCUUA
This 65-nucleotide transfer RNA is filed under the name Calocaris macandreae. Its description in RNAcentral is "tRNA-Trp". The record is from RNAcentral. Lineage: Eukaryota; Metazoa; Arthropoda; Malacostraca; Decapoda; Axiidae.